Microcebus murinus (gray mouse lemur) is the source of this 1466-nucleotide non-coding RNA. The record is from RefSeq and is a predicted model, not a curated record. Lineage: Eukaryota; Metazoa; Chordata; Mammalia; Primates; Cheirogaleidae.
UGGGCAGGGGACAGGAGGACUCAGGUGCCUCCACUCGCCUUGCUGUGGCCUAACCAUUGGGCUGAGUUGGCGUCUGAGGUGAGAGAACCUGGCAGCAGCCGUGGGGGUCACCCCAACCUCCGGACCUCGCAUCUGUUCCUGGACAUGCUUCGCUGCAGCUAAGCUCUGGCUCUCUCAGAGAUGUGGGGGGCUGGGCCUUCCCUGGCACUUAGCCCCCGAGAGCUCUUAGCCCCAAAGAUGUGUGGUGCAGGCUGCUGUGACUCCCAGGGGGGCCAGGCUACAGCAUGAGGGGAGAGGAGCUCCUCCAGGACUUCAGUGAUAGCAGGGCACAGGCCCAGAGUAGGUGUGGCUGUGGGCGCCUGGGCCCCGGGAUGUGCCUGGCUCUUUCAGAAUCACCGGGCCAGGACAGUGGAGGCUCAGAGUUCCUGGACCCCUUCUGGAGUGACCAGAGUGCUUGGGGCAGUUUCUGAGCCCCAUUGUUGUGCAGUAAAAACCUGCUUCCAGGAAAUGAGCUCAGCCCCUGGGCCUGGCUCUGGGUGGCCCUGACCUUCCCCUCAGCACCCCGAGACCUGUGUGUCUGGCAUCCUCAGCGUGCCUACGGCGCCGUCCGGGCAGUGGGAGAGCUGCCUUCGUGCCUGGGGUGAGGGCUCAGAUGGGGCACUGAGGGCUCCCGGGGCGGCUCCCGGGCCUGUGGUCACACUGCACUCGGGAAGUAGUGCCCGGGGCUCGCUGGCGCGGCGUUGGUGGUCUCGGGUACUGCUGGCACCCACCCUCCCGAGUGCUUGGGCAAGGCUCAUGUUCUGUGAGAACUGGGUCCCCCUCGUGUGUCUAGCGGAACUGCCUUUCUUUGCCAACAGUCCCCGAGGUCCUGCAGCUCAGCGACAGCCUGCGCGACGACGUCCUGCCCGAGCUCGGGGUGCGGUUUGAAGACCACGAAGGACUGCCAACGGUGGUCAAACUGGUAGACAGAGACACCUUACUGAAAGAGAGAGAAGAAAAGAAAAGGGUUGAAGAGGAGAAGAGGAAGAAGAAAGAGGAGGCAGCCCGGAGAAAACAAGAGCAAGAAGCGGCAAAGCUGGCCAGGAUGAAGGUUCCCCCCAGCGAGAUGUUCUUGUCAGAGACUGACAAAUACUCCAAAUUUGAUGAAAAUGGUCUUCCCACGCACGACACGGAAGGCAAAGAGCUGAGCAAAGGGCAAGCCAAGAAGCUGAAGAAGCUCUUCGAAGCGCAGGAGAAGCUGCACAAGGAGUAUCUGCAGCUGGUUCAGAACGGAAGCUGCCCGUGAGCAGGUGUGGGACUGACGCUUUACCUGAGCCGUCGCGGGCCGCGGCUCCUCUGCCUCAGUGCCAACACCCCAGCGCUCUGGUCAUGUUUACAUUGUCCGCGGGUCCUAGCUUAAGAGCUGUGUUCGUGUGGGUUCGUGCCGUCGGCAGCUCUGAGACACAAUAAAUUCUUCUAAACAGUGA